RNAcentral lists this transfer-messenger RNA (345 nucleotides) under Oscillospiraceae. RNAcentral describes it as "UMGS1668 sp017991935 Standard tmRNA". It matches the Rfam family "transfer-messenger RNA". From Rfam's summary of the family: Bacterial tmRNA, also known as 10Sa RNA or SsrA, is named for its dual tRNA and mRNA-like properties. RNAcentral also lists the same sequence under 1 other name. The record is from RNAcentral. Lineage: Bacteria; Bacillati; Bacillota; Clostridia; Eubacteriales.
GGGGGCGUAAAGGUUUCGACGGGGAUUCUGAAGUCCGGACAGCGGGCAGAGGCGCCUAACCUCUAUAAAAUGGGCAAAAAUCAUAAACGCUAACAAUAAUUUAGCUUACGCGGCCUAAAUAGGGCCGCCGUCCGUCCCAUGAGCACCGCGGCUUGGGAACGGGCGUGACUUAGCGGUGAACGUCGCGGGGAGGUUCCUCCGUCCCCGCGAUGCACAAGGGGGAUACUGAACCGGCGAGUCUGCCUGUCGACGCGCCGGGGAGGGAAUGCAAAUGAUGGGCUGCGCCCGGAGAAAUCCUCAUGGAUGGAUUUUCGGACGGGGGUUCGAUUCCCCCCGCCUCCACCA